Long non-coding RNA from Vespa velutina, 2195 nucleotides. RefSeq lists it as uncharacterized. The transcript is spliced from 2 exons. The record is from RefSeq and is a predicted model, not a curated record. NCBI's taxonomy places the organism in Eukaryota, Metazoa, Arthropoda, Insecta, Hymenoptera, Vespidae.
AUAUAUAUAUAUAUAUAUAUGUGUAUAUAUAUACAUAUAUAUAUAUAUAUAUAUAUAUAUAUAUAUAUAUAUUUAGUUAGAAAACGAUUGAGGAUUAAAAUUGUGAGUGGCUCGUUUGAGAAACUUGUUAAAAGCUGUAGAACACGCGCCGUUAAAUCGAGGAUAUGCGAUUUAACUAAUCUGGGAAACUGAUCUAGGAAAAGCAGAAAGAGACAGAGACAGAGUUAGAGAUAGAGAUAUAUAUAGAUAUAGAGAUGGAGUUGGAGACGGAGAUGGAGAAUGCUGGAUAAAUGGCAGCCAUCUUUGCACUGCCGCCAUUAUUAUCAGUGAAUCUCGACAAAUCCUCUUUCUUUCUCUCUCUCUUGCUCUCUCUCUCUCUCUCUCUCUCUCUCUCUCUCUGACUCUUUGACUUUCAACAUGAACGAAUAGCAAUGAGAAAGCAAACAAGAUUUUCUCUCAGUUUCGUUAAAUCGUCUACGUAAAUGCAUAAAAUAAUUUCUAUUGAGAACAAUUAAUUCCAAUAAACAUUUCUAUAUCCUUUUCUUUUCUUUCGUUUUCCUUUCUUUUUUUUUCUCUUUCUUCAUUUUUUGAUUUUUCUCUCUCGUUUAAAAAAAAAAAAAAAAAAAAAAACAAAAAAAAAAACAAAAAAAAAAAAAAAGGUAAAACCAACGUAAGCUUUGUCAUUGUCCCAAAUCUAAUUAUCUAAUUUCCAAAUUUUAUUUCUAAUCUUUCUCUCGUAGUAUAAAGGAAGAAAGAAAAAGUAAAGGAAAAAGAAAAAAUUUUGUUCGUUGAUCAGAAUUUUUUCUAUUUUUAAGAAAUGUUUCUAUUCUUUUUUUCUUUCUUUUUUUUUUUUUUUUUUUUUUUUUUUUUUUUUUUUAUCAGAAAAAAAAUAACUCGUAGAUAUAUAUACGGUGUACAUGGAAUUACGAAAGCUUAUUUUCACCAGUUUAACACAACACAAUAAUGUCUUCUUCCAUAUUUUCCGCACCCUUUCUUUUCUCCUCGCAUAUAUAUACACACACACACACACACACACACACAUAUAUAUAUAUAUAUAUAUAUAUAUUUAUACGUAUAUGGUGUAUACUCUGAAUCGAGCACAAUAUGGCGAACGCUAUACAUACAACAUACAUACAUACAUACGUGCAUAUAUUAAUACAUACGUGCAUACAUACAUACAUACGUGCAUAUAUAAAUACAUACGUGCAUACAUACAUAAAUACAUACAUAUAUGUAUACAUAAAUACAUAAUAUAAAACUGUUGCGUCGCGUUGCUUCGGCUCGAUCGAUUUUUUUUUGUACCUCUCAUGCAACAGAAGCAACGAUAUCCGAUCGAUAUGCUCUCUGUUUUACUACUCGUUUUCUUCUCACGUGACUGCCCCAUUAACGAGAAUGGGUUAGAAAGGAAUAAGGAAAGUAAAUGUGUAUUUAAAAGGAGGAAAAAGGAAAAAAGAGAGAGAGAGAGAGAGAGAGAGAGAGAGAGAGAAAAGAAAGAAAGAAAGAAAUAAGGAGGGAAGGAAGGAAGGAAGGAAUGAAAGAAAAAAGAAAAUGAAAAGAAAAGAAAACAGGAAACAGAAAAAGCAAAAGAAAAAGAAGAGUGAAGAGACUAAAAAUAACAAGACACAUUAUUACAAAGUUCAGAAUAAAGUUCACAUCAAAUACAUAGUUAUACACAAACACACACAUAUAUAUAUAUAUAUAUAUAUAUAUAUAUAUAUAUAUCGCUUUAGAAUCCAAUGUAAAUCUUCGAGGAAAGACCAUCGAUGUGUUUUCGUUCGAAUGGCUGAAAGCUUAUAUCGUGAAUGGGAUAUCUCUUCACGCAAGAGAGAAAAAGACAGAAAAAGAAAGAGAAGGGGAGAGAGAGAAAGAGAGAGAAAGAGAGAGAGACGAUUCUUACGGUCUGACACACGAGAUUGGAGCAAAAGGAUAUCGAUAAAAAGAGAAAGAGAGACAGAGAAAGAGAUGAAAGUAGAAAAGAGAAAGAAUGCUGACGAUUCUUCUCGAAAAAGUACGACGAGAAUCGGUCCCGUACGUACAUCACCAGAAGAAAGGGAGAAUAAAACCGCGGAAGAUAAAGUUGACCAUUCGUCUUUUAAAAAAAAAAAAAAAAAGCCCGUGUCUCGAUUCCCAAAGCCUAGGAAAAUCCAAAACCGAUUUUUAUACUUGCAACAAUAAUGCCGAUCUUCUAUCUUCAA